Molecule: ribosomal RNA, 498 nt
Filed under: uncultured bacterium
Lineage: Bacteria
Description: partial 16S ribosomal RNA
Rfam family: Bacterial small subunit ribosomal RNA
Source: RNAcentral
GACGAACGCUGGCGGCGUGCCUAAUACAUGCAAGUCGAGCGGACGGAUGGGAGCUUGCUCCCAGACCGUCAGCGGCGGACGGGUGAGUAACACGUGGGCAACCUGCCUGUAAGACUGGGAUAACUCCGGGAAACCGGGGCUAAUACCGGAUAACUCUUUCCCUCACAUGAGGGAAAGCUGAAAGAUGGCAUCUCGCUAUCACUUACAGAUGGGCCCGCGGCGCAUUAGCUAGUUGGUGAGGUAACGGCUCACCAAGGCGACGAUGCGUAGCCGACCUGAGAGGGGGAUCGGCCAAACUGGGACUGAGACACGGCCCAGACUCCUACGGGAGGCAGCAGUAGGGAAUCUUCCGCAAUGGACGAAAGUCUGACGGAGCAACGCCGCGUGAGUGAUGAAGGUUUUCGGAUCGUAAAACUCUGUUGUCAGGGAAGAACAAGUACCGGAGUAACUGCCGGUACCUUGACGGUACCUGACCAGAAAGCCACGGCUAACUACGUG